UCCUGGCUCAGAUUGAACGCUGGCGGCAUGCUUUACACAUGCAAGUCGAACGGCAGCACGAAAGAGCUUGCUCUUUUGGUGGCGAGUGGCGAACGGGUGAGUAAUACAUUGGAACGUACCGAGUAAUGGGGGAUAACUGUCCGAAAGGAUGGCUAAUACCGCAUACGCUCUGAGGAGGAAAGCGGGGGACCUUCGGGCCUCGCGUUAUUCGAGCGGCCAAUGUCUGAUUAGCUAGUUGGUGGGGUAAAGGCCUACCAAGGCGACGAUCAGUAGUGGGUCUGAGAGGAUGAUCCGCCACACUGGGACUGAGACACGGCCCAGACUCCUACGGGAGGCAGCAGUGGGGAAUUUUGGACAAUGGGCGAAAGCCUGAUCCAGCCAUGCCGCGUGUCUGAAGAAGGCCUUCGGGUUGUAAAGGACUUUUGUCAGGGAAGAAAGGGUUUGGGUUAA
Molecule: ribosomal RNA, 450 nt
Filed under: Neisseria arctica
Lineage: Bacteria; Pseudomonadati; Pseudomonadota; Betaproteobacteria; Neisseriales; Neisseriaceae
Description: bacterial SSU rRNA
Rfam family: Bacterial small subunit ribosomal RNA
Source: RNAcentral